RNAcentral lists this ribosomal RNA (502 nucleotides) under uncultured bacterium. Its description in RNAcentral is "partial 16S ribosomal RNA". It matches the Rfam family "Bacterial small subunit ribosomal RNA", at positions 28 to 507 of the family's 1533-position model. The record is from RNAcentral.
GACGAACGCUGGCGGCGUGCUUAACACAUGCAAGUCGAACGGUGAAGGGGCCUGCUUUUGUGGGCCCUGGAUGAGUGGCGAACGGGUGAGUAACACGUGAGUAACCUGCCCCCUUCUUCUGGAUAACCGCAUGAAAGUGUGGCUAAUACGGGAUAUUCUGGGUCUGUCGCAUGAUGGGUCUGGGAAAGAUUGCGCCUUUGGGUGUUUUUGGUGGGGGAUGGGCUCGCGGCCUAUCAGCUUGUUGGUGGGGUGAUGGCCUACCAAGGCGGUGACGGGUAGCCGGGCGGAGAGGGUGGACGGUCACACUGGGACUGAGACACGGCCCAGACUCCUACGGGAGGCAGCAGUGGGGAAUAUUGCACGAUGGGCGCAAGCCUGAUGCAGCGACGCCGCGUGAGAGAGGGAGGCCUUCGGGUUGUAAACCUCUUUCGCCAGUGAAGCAGGCCUGCUCCUUGUGGGUGGGUUGACGGUAGCUGGAUAAGAAGCGCCGGCUAACUACGUG